UACGUAGGGGGCGAGCGUUGUCCGGAUUUAUUGGGCGUAAAGAGCUCGUAGGCGGUUUGGCAAGUCGGGUGUGAAAACUCCGGGCUCAACUCGGAGACGCCACUCGAUACUGCUAUGACUCGAGUCCGGUAGGGGAGUGCGGAAUUCCUGGUGUAGCGGUGAAAUGCGCAGAUAUCAGGAGGAACACCCGUGGCUAAGGCGGCUCUCUAGUACGGUACUGACGCUGAGACGCGAAAGCGUGGGGAGCGAACAGG
RNAcentral lists this ribosomal RNA (254 nucleotides) under uncultured bacterium. RNAcentral's name for it is "partial 16S ribosomal RNA". It matches the Rfam family "Bacterial small subunit ribosomal RNA", at positions 524 to 776 of the family's 1533-position model. The record is from RNAcentral.